GAUUAACGCUGGCGGCGUGCGUAACACAUGCAAGUCGAACGAUGAAACUCAUUAGAUUUCUUCGGAAUGAAAAUGAAUGGAUUAGUGGCGAACGGGUGAGUAACGCGUGAGUAACCUGCCUUACACAAGGGGAUAGCCUCUGGAAACGGAGAAUAAUACCCUAUGAAACCAGACAAUCGCAUGAUAAUCUGGUCAAAAUGUUUAGUGGUGUAAGAUGGACUUGCGUCUGAUUAGCUAGUUGGUGAGAUAAAAGCUCACCAAGGCAACGAUCAGUAGCCGGCUUGAGAGAGUGUACGGCCACAUUGGGACUGAGACACGGCCCAGACUCCUACGGGAGGCAGCAGUGGGGAAUUUUGCACAAUGGGGGAAACCCUGAUGCAGCGACGCCGCGUGAUUUAGAAGGCCUUCGGGUUGUAAAAAUCUUUUGUAUAGGAAGAAAAUGACAGUACUAUACGAAUAAGGGCCGGCUAAUUACGUG
Molecule: ribosomal RNA, 478 nt
Filed under: uncultured bacterium
Lineage: Bacteria
Description: partial 16S ribosomal RNA
Rfam family: Bacterial small subunit ribosomal RNA
Source: RNAcentral